This 253-nucleotide ribosomal RNA is filed under the name uncultured bacterium. RNAcentral describes it as "partial 16S ribosomal RNA". It matches the Rfam family "Bacterial small subunit ribosomal RNA", at positions 524 to 776 of the family's 1533-position model. The record is from RNAcentral.
GACGAACCGAGCGAACGUUGUUCGGAAUCACUGGGCUUAAAGGGCGCGUAGGCGGGCUGUCAAGUUUGGGGUGAAAUCCCGCGGCUCAACCGUGGAACUGCCUCAAAUACUGACGGUCUCGAGGGAGGUAGGGGCGAGCGGAACUGAUGGUGGAGCGGUGAAAUGCGUUGAUAUCGGAAGGAACGCCGGUGGCGAAAGCGACGUGCUGGACCUCUUCUGACGCUGAGGCGCGAAAGCUAGGAGAGCGAACGGG